RNAcentral lists this long non-coding RNA (269 nucleotides) under Medicago truncatula (barrel medic). Its description in RNAcentral is "long non-coding RNA (MTRU_LNC008848)". The record is from RNAcentral. Lineage: Eukaryota; Viridiplantae; Streptophyta; Magnoliopsida; Fabales; Fabaceae.
GCUGUUGUGAGUGGCCUUGCCUCACUGUGUCGUCUAGGUCGCUCUGAUACGUAACGGGAUGGGGUUUUGAUAUGCAUGCUUCAUUCUAUUACGUGAAACGUUUAUGUUAUUUUUAUAAGAUUGUUUAACUUUUGAAAUACUUUGAUGAGGCCUGCGUGCCAAAGCGUUUUAUGGAUUAUGAAAUAAUUUCCGCUGCAAUGUUUAAGAUAUUUGGUUAAAUUGUUAUUUAACUGUUUUGGAUUAUGUUAAAUGUGAUUUCUCGUUUGUUU